This 497-nucleotide ribosomal RNA is filed under the name uncultured bacterium. Its description in RNAcentral is "partial 16S ribosomal RNA". It matches the Rfam family "Bacterial small subunit ribosomal RNA", at positions 28 to 507 of the family's 1533-position model. The record is from RNAcentral.
GAUGAACGCUGGCGGCGUGCCUAAUACAUGCAAGUCGAGCGAACGGACGAGAGGCUUGCUUCUCUGAUGUUAGCGGCGGACGGGUGAGUAACACGUGGAUAACCUACCUAUAAGACUGGGAUAACUUCGGGAAACCGGAGCUAAUACCGGAUAAUAUUUUGAACCGCAUGGUUCAAAAGUGAAAGACGGUCUUGCUGUCACUUAUAGAUGGAUCCGCGCUGCAUUAGCUAGUUGGUAAGGUAACGGCUUACCAAGGCAACGAUGCAUAGCCGACCUGAGAGGGUGAUCGGCCACACUGGAACUGAGACACGGUCCAGACUCCUACGGGAGGCAGCAGUAGGGAAUCUUCCGCAAAGGGCGAAAGCCUGACGGAGCAACGCCGCGUGAGUGAUGAAGGUCUUCGGAUCGUAAAACUCUGUUAUUAGGGAAGAACAUCUGUGUAAGUAACUGUGCACAUCUUGACGGUACCUAAUCAGAAAGCCACGGCUAACUACGUG